CUGCUUAUAAGUUGAGCUCUCAACUUUUGAAAGAUGAAAAAAAAAAUGAUAAGUGGUGGUCCAGCUGACUGCUGAAAGAAUGGGGAUUCAUGAUGUAUCUAUAAUAAAAAUAGUAAAAAGAGGUGUCAAGAUUUAGGUUUGAACGUUUGAUGUGUGGAUAUUCUAUAAUUUUUUAUUUUAUCCUGUUUUUCCCUGUUUACCUUGUUAUUUUCAUUCUUAGUACAUUUACUCAUUAGUGUGUUUUUUUAUGAGUGCUAGGUGCUAGCAAAUCUUGAGAAAUUUGAAUCUGUGUUUUCUUCCAAAUCCAAUGGCUCUGAUUGUCUGAUUGGAUGGAGUGAGACUAGAGUUCACUCCUGAGGCUGGCAAGGCACUCUGCAGUUUUCUAAUGCAUCAUAGCGAACUAUACAUUUUGACAGCAGUCAUAAUCUAAGUUUUGCUUGUGAUAAAGAAAAAUGGGGAAGGAAAAUUGAGGGAAAACAUACAUGUAGAAGAACAAGAAUUUUGUUUCCAUAAUUAUCCAAUACUCUAGGGGUUCAUCAACGUCCUUAACAUUCUGAAUUGUGCAUUCCCAAUAAAUAAACAAUCGUAAAUCGUAAUCUCUCAUUUUCUACGGGUUCUCUGUCUCUGAAACCAGUGGAAUAUACUUGUCCAUUUUUAAUCUUGUUAAUAGCAGAAGUCAAGCAUUUAAAGUAGAUAUUAUUGUUCCAGUAAGUGACUUGUGAAGGUGAUUAUCUUAAUAAAGAUUAGUCGUUUUGAUUUCAAUUUGAGAUACUGACUAUAUGCAUAUGACCCAAAAUUUGUUUAUAACGAUCAUAAGCUGGUCUUGUGAUGCAAUAUUCUUAAUCAUGUAUUGCCUGUGUCUCAUGCAUGAGGGGUGCAUCAUCUGUAGAACAGGCAAGAGGGAUUAAAGAAACUUGAUUGGAGAAUUGUACUAGUUUUAAGUUUUAACUUCGGAAUGUAAAAGUCUUGGAUUAUACUAAAUUUUAUAUUUUCAUUUCUCUGAUAAAAUUGUUUGCUUUGAUGUCAUUUGACAUGGGAGACCCGGAGAUGAAAGGCCCCGACCCCCAGUAUCUCUUUUUGCUAGGGAUCCAUUAGUGGACCUAUGCAGUAAUUGGGCUCACUUUUGCAUUCUUUUACAGGAUAACAUGUCUCGAAGUGAUGACCCGAACAACUAUGUAGUGCAUAACUCUCUUUUGGAGAAAGGAAAAGAGAGAGUCAACAAAAUGUUGGCCUGGCAAAAAUGAAAAGAACAAGAAUGGGUCGGGAAAUCUCUCACUUGAUCUCAAGUUCAAUUUUAUGCUCAACUUUCAGAACAAAACUACUAAUGACAAUGCAACUAUUAUGGUAGAACGAUACUUGACAAGGUGAAAGUCCUUUUCUACAUAAAUUGUAUUGAGCAUGACUAAACAGUUGGGAUUUGUUUGGUUAGCGGUAAAGGGUAAGAAUGACACUACGAUUG
Molecule: long non-coding RNA, 1459 nt
Filed under: Olea europaea subsp. europaea
Lineage: Eukaryota; Viridiplantae; Streptophyta; Magnoliopsida; Lamiales; Oleaceae
Source: RNAcentral